This 73-nucleotide transfer RNA is filed under the name Bos taurus (domestic cattle). It matches the Rfam family "tRNA". From Rfam's summary of the family: Transfer RNA (tRNA) molecules are approximately 80 nucleotides in length. Their secondary structure includes four short double-helical elements and three loops (D, anti-codon, and T loops). Further hydrogen bonds mediate the characteristic L-shaped molecular structure. tRNAs have two regions of fundamental functional importance: the anti-codon, which is responsible for specific mRNA codon recognition, and the 3' end, to which the tRNAs corresponding amino acid is attached (by aminoacyl-tRNA synthetases). tRNAs cope with the degeneracy of the genetic code in two manners: having more than one tRNA (with a specific anti-codon) for a particular amino acid; and 'wobble' base-pairing, i.e. permitting non-standard base-pairing at the 3rd anti-codon position. RNAcentral also lists the same sequence under 4 other names. The record is from Rfam by way of RNAcentral. Lineage: Eukaryota; Metazoa; Chordata; Mammalia; Artiodactyla; Bovidae.
UCCCUGGAGGUCCAGUGGUUAAGACUCUGCACUUCCUACGCAGGAGGCUUGGGUUUGAUCCCUGAUCAGGGAA